CAGUGGGGAAUUUUGGACAAUGGGCGAAAGCCUGAUCCAGCAAUGCCGCGUGAGUGAAGAAGGCCUUCGGGUUGUAAAGCUCUUUUGUCAGGGAAGAAACGGUGAGAGCUAAUAUCUCUUGCUAAUGACGGUACCUGAAGAAUAAGCACCGGCUAACUACGUGCCAGCAGCCGCGGUAAUACGUAGGGUGCAAGCGUUAAUCGGAAUUACUGGGCGUAAAGCGUGCGCAGGCGGUUUUGUAAGUCUGAUGUGAAAUCCCCGGGCUCAACCUGGGAAUUGCAUUGGAGACUGCAAGGCUAGAAUCUGGCAGAGGGGGGUAGAAUUCCACGUGUAGCAGUGAAAUGCGUAGAUAUGUGGAGGAACACCGAUGGCGAAGGCAGCCCCCUGGGUCAAGAUUGACGCUCAUGCACGAAAGCGUGGGGAGCAAACAGGAUUAGAUACCCUGGUAGUCCACGCCCUAAACGAUGUCUACUAGUUGUCGGGUCUUAAUUGACUUGGUAACGCAGCUAACGCGUGAAGUAGACCGC
RNAcentral lists this ribosomal RNA (527 nucleotides) under uncultured Acinetobacter sp. RNAcentral's name for it is "bacterial SSU rRNA". It matches the Rfam family "Bacterial small subunit ribosomal RNA", at positions 352 to 872 of the family's 1533-position model. The record is from RNAcentral. RNAcentral also lists the same sequence under 1 other name. Lineage: Bacteria; Pseudomonadati; Pseudomonadota; Gammaproteobacteria; Moraxellales; Moraxellaceae.